Molecule: RNase P RNA, 380 nt
Filed under: Candidatus Melainabacteria bacterium
Lineage: Bacteria; Bacillati; Candidatus Melainabacteria
Description: RNase P RNA component class A
Rfam family: Bacterial RNase P class A
About the family: Ribonuclease P (RNase P) is a ubiquitous endoribonuclease, found in archaea, bacteria and eukarya as well as chloroplasts and mitochondria. Its best characterised activity is the generation of mature 5'-ends of tRNAs by cleaving the 5'-leader elements of precursor-tRNAs. Cellular RNase Ps are ribonucleoproteins.
Source: RNAcentral
GAAGUUCCUCAAGCAGUUGCGUUUUAUAUUUAAGAUGCCAAGCAAUUGGUGAGAAAUAUCAAAUGAGGAAAGUCCGGGCACCAUAGGGCUGGUUGCUUCGUAAUGCGAAGUGCAUGUGAAUGUGAGGAAAGUGCCACAGAAAAGUAGACCGCCCACCCAUUAUGGGCGAGGUAAGGGUGCAACGGUGAGGUAAGAGCUCACCAGGUUUACAGGUGACUGUAAAUCUAGGUAAACCCCACUGAAGGUGCAAGGCUAAAGCAUAGGAUUGAAUAACAGUGGCCCGCUGCUCAAUUCUGCUCACGCCGCUUGAGGGUAUUGGAGACAAUACUCCCAGAUAGAUAGCUGCAUAAACAGAACCCGGCUUAUGAGGAACUUCCGUA